AUACUUACCUGGCAGGGGAGAUACCAUGAUCACGAAGGUGGUUUUCCCAGGGCGAGGCUUAUCCAUUGCACUCCAGAUGUGCUGAAACUCCAGUUUCCCAAAUGUGGGAAACUCUACUGCAUAAUUUGUGGUAGUGGGGGACUGCGUUCGCGCUCCCUCCUG
This is a small nuclear RNA of Cebus imitator (Panamanian white-faced capuchin), 162 nucleotides long. Its record names the gene U1. It matches the Rfam family "U1 spliceosomal RNA". Rfam says of the family: U1 is a small nuclear RNA (snRNA) component of the spliceosome (involved in pre-mRNA splicing). The record is from Ensembl. Lineage: Eukaryota; Metazoa; Chordata; Mammalia; Primates; Cebidae.